ACUUUAAAAUCAGAGAUAAACAUUCUCCUUGUUAUUUCCGACUUUCUCUUCUCUCAAAACCGUUGUUUUUUUCCCAACCAUUUCACACAGACAAGAAACUGUUGAUUUGUGAAGAAAAAUUUGACUGGAACUCGCUCUCCGUUUACGAUUAAGGAUUUUGAAACGCAAAGAGUACGAAGAAAAGUUGUGGCAGUAAGCCGGGAGAGCUCACGGAAGCAUUAGCGCUAUGAAAGUUGGUAUUCUCAUACUUUUUGAUGUGUAUAUCACGGGGUACCUGGGAGUUUAGUUUGUUUGCCUUGAUCCCAUAUCAUUUUGUAUAUUUUGCUGUUAUCAUUGGGAUUUUGGACAUGAUCUCAAUAUGGUCUGUAACAAAAAAAAACUUGUCUGUUUCGUAUACAAUGGUUUUGGUCUUGGGUAUUAAGUGCUUGUCUAAUUUUGUUAAAACUCUUGAACUUGAUUAAUUUUGCUGCUUAUAGUUUAGUUUACUGUAUUUUAUGUACAAUAUGUCUUUUACCUUGACAUGAAUUUACUAAGUUAUCAAGGGUGUUAGCCUAAGUUUUUAAUUUCCA
Papaver somniferum (opium poppy) is the source of this 569-nucleotide long non-coding RNA. RefSeq lists it as uncharacterized. The record is from RefSeq and is a predicted model, not a curated record. The transcript is spliced from 2 exons. Lineage: Eukaryota; Viridiplantae; Streptophyta; Magnoliopsida; Ranunculales; Papaveraceae.